UGGGGAAUAUUGCACAAUGGGCGAAAGCCUGAUGCAGCAACGCCGCGUGAGUGAUGAAGGCCUUCGGGUUGUAAAGCUCUGUCUUCUGGGACGAUAAUGACGGUACCAGAGGAGGAAGCCACGGCUAACUACGUGCCAGCAGCCGCGGUAAUACGUAGGUGGCAAGCGUUGUCCGGAUUUACUGGGCGUAAAGGAUGCGUAGGCGGAUACUUAAGUCAGAUGUGAAAAUCCCGGGCUUAACUUGGGAACUGCAUUUGAAACUGGGUAUCUAGAGUGCGGGAGAGGAGAGUGAAAUUCCUAGUGUGGCGGUGAAAUGCGUAGAGAUUAGGAAGAACACCAGUGGCGAAGGCGACUUUCUGGACCGUAACUGACGCUGAGGCAUGAAAGCGUGGGGAGCAAA
This 400-nucleotide ribosomal RNA is filed under the name uncultured bacterium. Its description in RNAcentral is "bacterial SSU rRNA". It matches the Rfam family "Bacterial small subunit ribosomal RNA", at positions 355 to 772 of the family's 1533-position model. The record is from RNAcentral.